UACGAAGGGUGCAAGCGUUACUCGGAAUUACUGGGCGUAAAGCGUGCGUAGGUGGUUCGUUAAGUCUGAUGUGAAAGCCCUGGGCUCAACCUGGGAAUUGCAUUGGAUACUGGCGGGCUAGAGUACGGUAGAGGGUGGCGGAAUUCCUGGUGUAGCAGUGAAAUGCGUAGAUAUCAGGAGGAACAUCCGUGGCGAAGGCGGCCACCUGGACCAGUACUGACACUGAGGCACGAAAGCGUGGGGAGCAAACAGGAUUAGAUACCCUGGUAGUCCACGCCCUAAACGAUGCGAACUGGAUGUUGGGUGCAACUAGGCACUCAGUAUCGAAGCUAACGCGUUAAGUUCGCCGCCUGGGGAGUACGGUCGCAAGACUGAA
RNAcentral lists this ribosomal RNA (376 nucleotides) under uncultured bacterium. RNAcentral describes it as "bacterial SSU rRNA". It matches the Rfam family "Bacterial small subunit ribosomal RNA", at positions 524 to 898 of the family's 1533-position model. The record is from RNAcentral.